GCUCUAUGCCUCGUGCAGCACGUGCAGAGGACACACUGCGGCAGACAACGUGACACACCCGCCCUCAUCGUUAGAAGUGGAAAAUGAGGAUGCUUUCAAAUGUCGGAUGGAUAAUACAUAUCGAUAAUGAUACGCUGAAAGUGUCCCUGGUAGUAAGGUCAAGCAGAGGGUAACACUCUUUUCGCUUGGAGUCUCCUGCUGACCCUCGUACUGGACAUGAACUUCUUCCAUUCAUGCGUUUUACAGAAACAGAUCAAUAUCAACUUCUCCAUGGCAACGUAAACUUGUUACAAAUUUAUAGAAACAACCACCAAGCGAGAAAAGGAGAAUCGCGGUCGAUUGAGGUCGCCCCACUACAACAGCACUACGGAAUGCAUGACGUUACUACAGUUGUAUAGAAAAAACAAGUGCGCAGCCGCAGUGGCGAUAUUAUCAUAACUCAAGGACCUCACCUAAGAUUCACCCCGAGUGACCGCCAGGAAACUUUUUUUUUCAGAUACGUUAUGUGCAGUAUUGAUGGGAACAGGCAUGCGGAACCCUAAGGAUGAAAAAAUCGUUAAAAAUCUUCAAACACCGAGCAAUACUGCAGCUUAUCAUUGGGAGUGUUUUAAUUUUGUUCAGAUGAAUGAAAAAUACCAUUACAUGCCAUUAAAUUGUAAGUGGUUCUUCUCAACCGUAACGAUGACUUCAUAUCGUGGGGAUCAAAUGGAGAAAAAUAUCUCUAUUACGUAAACAAAAGCAGUUUGAAUUCCAUUAUUUGACUUCGAUAGACUGUUAAAACUGAGACAAGUUCAAACAUUUGAUUAACGUGCAGAAUCUCAAUGCAUCGACAAGUAUGUCCCUGUUUUGUCCCACAUAUAGGCCGAUUCCAAGCUUCAACUGUUGCCAUUUAAGUGACAAAAAUCGGAGAAAGAGAGAGAGAGAGAGAUUGUAUGAUAUGAAAUAUAUAUGAAAAUGAUAUACGUAUGAUAUAGUAUGCAAUACAUGUGCAGAUGAUUUGUGGCACUUUAUCUAAAUCUGUUAAUGCCUCUGAGUGAAAUUUUUUUCGAAUAGGAUGUAAAAGAAUACAAUACAUUGUAUACUAUAUAUAAAUAUAAUUACGACAUACGAAACCGUGCACAUAUGAACUGGAUUAAUUGAUUGAAUAUUGUUUAACGUCCCUCUCGAGAGAAAAUUUCACUCAUAUGGAGACGUCACCACUGCCGGUGAAGGGCUGCAAAAUUUAGGCCUAUGCUCGGCGCUUAUGGCCAUUGAGCAGGGAGAGAUCUUUAUCGUGCCACACCUGCUGUGACACAGGACCUCGGUUUUUGCGGUCUCAUCCGAAGGACCGCUUCGGUCAUGUAGUCGCCUCUUACCACAAGCAAGGGGUACUGAGGACCUAUUCUAACCCGGAUCUCCACGGCAUCAUAUGAACUGGAAUUGAUAAAUACUUUGCAAUUAGAUUUUUCACCAUAUGAUAUAUCAAAACGAAACUUCCAAUUGAUAGUUACAAAUGAAUCCUAAUACAUUUCUACAGGUACAUGAGUAGGUCUGAUCUUGUUAGGACAUACAAUAUUCAUGUAACUUCAAUCGGAUCACUCGUCCCUAAAAUGUAGGCCAAACCAGUCCUCCAGAACAUGAUUACAGCAUGCGUCCUUAGAUACAACAUCCACAAGUAAACUUUUGUCCUCCACCAACGAAAUACAGGUAAAAUCUAGCAUAUAAAAGAUAUAUGGAAAGGUGCAUCUUUUAGAAACAUCACCCGUGGAAGUUUGAUGCAGGGGGACCUUAAAAUCAUGGAGCACCUCUGUGUUUUACCUGCUUAUUUAUUCAGGCACUGUAACCCAGGAUCUGGUGUGUAUCCUGUACGUUUUGGUCUUUAGGUAUUACAUAUCAUUAUACUUUGACAUGGCAAUCGCGCGAAAAAGAGCGCCAAAAGUUCAUUCAUCCGAUAAAAUGUAGGUCACAGGGGCAGUACCUGGGACGACAUCCCUGCUAGUUUUUUUCCCCAGGUGGUAUCUUUAAUUCAAACAUGCUAACGGAUAAGAUCGAAAGAGGAAAGAAAGUAAUACAAAUUUAUAUACCAUCCCCAAAAAUAUCGACCCCUCUCAUUGAUUCAAAUGUACAUCAAUUUCAGUAAUUGAAAUGUAUGUCAUUAUCUUCAUCAGAAUGCUUGUUUGACGAACACGUGUAUCCUUUGAAACAAAGGAAGCGAGAAUAAAAGACUUAUUCAUCUGUACAGAACGGAUUCUUCAAUUAUAAAGACGGGAGGAUGGUAUGAUGAUAAUGAAGAAUGAUGAACUAACACUUAUUUAGAAGUAUAAAAAUUCACUUUUGUGUGUAACUUUACACAAUAUCAAAUAUGGCAUGAUUAUACAUACUGGUCUGGAGGUUAUAAAACUUGUACCGUACUUAUACUCAGUCAUGUUUGUUUUGAGUACAACUCUGAGCAAGCUCCAAGCUUACUCGAAAAAUCCUGAGCUUGUACUCCAUUUCAGUAGGAGAAUGAUUUUAUGAAAGUUUUAUAAACUUCACUUUUGAGAAUGAGUACGAUUUAGAGCACGGAAUUUGAGUUUGAGUAUGAAAACGUGCUCAAAAAAGGUUUUAUAACCCCCAGGCCAGGACUGUAAUAUGAAUUUUGUAUUUCAUUACUGCCUAAAACCUCCAACUGUUACACGCACCUGUAUUAAUAAAAUGCGUUU
This is a long non-coding RNA of Ostrea edulis (European flat oyster), 2681 nucleotides long. RefSeq lists it as uncharacterized. Lineage: Eukaryota; Metazoa; Mollusca; Bivalvia; Ostreida; Ostreidae. The transcript has 4 exons. The record is from RefSeq and is a predicted model, not a curated record.